Molecule: long non-coding RNA, 910 nt
Organism: Solanum lycopersicum (tomato)
Lineage: Eukaryota; Viridiplantae; Streptophyta; Magnoliopsida; Solanales; Solanaceae
Source: RefSeq, a predicted model, not a curated record
UCGGUGCGUAUCUCAAAAAAGUGGUGCAUAAUGUAUUAAGCCGUAAAAGAAAGGCACUUUUUCCGGUAGAGUAGCGUAUCUGAGAGAUUCUCUUUUACUAUCGAAAAACUAAAAUAUGAAUGUGAAAUCUGCCGGUGGAGUUGUUUCUGUGUUGUGAAAUUGUUGAAUUUGAUUAAAAUUUGUUGUGUUGAGUGAUAAUGGAGAGGGAGAAGUACUCGGAGGAAUUGAAUGUGGCUGUGAGGGUUGUGCAUUUGGCGUGUUCUCUGUCAAAAGGUGCAAAAGGGUUUGCUUGGUAAAGCAUUUGGUGAUGAUGAUGAGGUUAAGUCUAAGAUUGAUGAUUCUCUUGUUACUAUUGCAGAUUGGAGUAUGCAAGCAACUGUAAGCUGGAUCCCUUCAAAUACUUUUGGUAGCGAAAAUGUCUCCAUAGUAGCUGAAGAGGAAGUUCAAACCAUAGACGCACUAGACCAUCAUGGUCCUCCAAAGGUGAACAUUUGGCAGGAUCCAAUGAGCCCAUCAAAAUAGAAGGAAGAGCAUUUUGUGAUAGCCUCUCUUACUGGUUGGGGUUUGGUCUUCUAUGGGGUUAUAAGCUCUUCUCAGGAGGAAAGAAAGAGAAGAAGGAAGAGAAAUGAUCACACGGACGUCGGGUUGUCUCUAUUCACCGGCAAUAAAGUAGUGUAAGUUGCUAGGUCUUAGUGGCCUAGUUCAAGCCAAUAUGAGGAUGUAAUUUGUCGGCCCCUAUCCAUUCCCAUUCUAGCUUUGAACUUUGAGUUGUACAUGAAAUGUUGAUUGAACAAUCAACUUUGAGUGCUUUUUUCUGAAUUGUCAAUCCAUUUAAUAACUAUCACCAUGAGUAUGUUGAGGAGAUGAAAAACACGUGAUUAAUCGUUCUAUACAUUACCCCCUCCUCCUG